GGGCUUGCUCCGGCAGCACAUAUACUAAAAUUGGAAGGAUACAAAGAAGAUUAGCACAGCCCCUGUGCAAGGAUGACACGCAAAUUCGUGAAGCUUCCAUAUUUUUA
Molecule: small nuclear RNA, 107 nt
Filed under: Lynx canadensis (Canada lynx)
Lineage: Eukaryota; Metazoa; Chordata; Mammalia; Carnivora; Felidae
Source: RNAcentral